Non-coding RNA from Phasianus colchicus (ring-necked pheasant), 4802 nucleotides. The record is from RefSeq and is a predicted model, not a curated record. NCBI's taxonomy places the organism in Eukaryota, Metazoa, Chordata, Aves, Galliformes, Phasianidae.
AUGAUGCCGCGGCGGGGGGCGGCGGGUCCUCGCCGCCGCCGGCGCCCGGCGCCCCUCAACGAGGACAACGGGCGGUUCCUGCUGCUGGCCGCCCUCAUCGCGGCGUACCUGAGCGCCGGCGCCACCGUCUUCUCGGCCCUCGAGAGCCCGUCGGAGGCGGCGGCGCAGCUGCGCUGGAACCGGACCCUGCACAACUUCAGCCGCAUCUUCAACAUCAGCCUGCCCGAGCUGCGCGCCUUCCUGCGGAGCUACGAGGCGGCCAUGGCCGCGGGCAUCCGCGUCGACGCCCUGCGGCCCCGCUGGGACUUCCCCGGAGCCUUCUACUUCGUGGGCACCGUCGUCUCCACCAUAGGUUUUGGAAUGACCACGCCAGCAACAGUGGCUGGGAAAGUAUUCCUCAUCGUUUACGGUCUAUUUGGGUGUGCUGGGACUAUCCUCUUCUUCAACCUCUUUCUGGAGCGCAUUAUCUCCCUCCUGGCAUUCAUCAUGAAGGCUUGCCAUGAAAGACAGCUGCGAAGAAGUGGUCUCCUACCUCCCAACUUCCGAAGAGGUUCAGCUAUGUCGGGGGUGGGCAGCCUCAUCGGCUGGAAGCCAUCUGUUUAUCACGUGAUGCUCAUUCUGGGAAUUUUUGCCAUCACGCUUUCCUGCUGUGCUUCUGCAAUGUACACAUUGGUGGAAGGGUGGAACUACGUUGACUCCUUGUACUAUUGUUUUGUCACCUUUAGCACCAUUGGCUUUGGAGAUUUGGUAAGCAGCCAAAAUGCUGUGUACCAAAAUCAGGGAUUAUACAGAUUCGGAAACUUCAUCUUUAUAUUAAUGGGGGUAUGUUGCAUAUACUCUCUUUUUAACGUCAUCUCAAUUGUAAUCAAGCAACUCUUGAACUGGGUGUUGAAAAAAUUCAGAUGCAGAUGUUGCCCAAAGUGCCAUAAGUCAGGUACCCGCCUUGGGCGUCGCAACGCCAUCACCCCAGGAGCCCGCCUGCGCCGGCACAAAAUCUCCCUGGAGGCUGAUGGGCAGUAUGACAGUGAUACAGAUGGCAGGAGGCUCUCUGGAGAGAUGAUUUCCAUGAGGGAGCUCACGGCGUCCAACAAGGUCUCUCUGGCUAUUUUGCAAAAGCAGCUGUAUGAGACAGCCAACGGCUACCCGAGGAACGUUUGUAUCAAUACAAGGCAGAACGGGUUCUCCGCAGGGGUGGGUGCUCUAGCCAUCAUGAACAACCGCUUGGCAGAAACCAGUGACUCUAGGUAGAGUUUUUGAAGUUCUUUUCAUUUCUUUGAUAAAAAUAAAAUGAUAAUUUCAGGUGGAAUUAUUGCUGCAAACGAUCAAAGUUUUAUGUUCAGAGCAGACUCAGUAUUCGUUGGGUGUUCGGCAGUUUGGUUUCUUGGGUUUUUAUGUCUUCUCCAAUAUGCAGUAACAUCUUGACUGCAAUGUCACAAUUUUCCCUGGGGGGGUUUUGUGAGGGACUUGGAUGUCUUUGAUGCGGAAUCUGAAGCGUUUUCAGAAGAAUGGUGUGUGAGGUUACAACGGUGUCAGAAUGGACAUCUUACACAGGAGAUAGCCUGAACUCUGGGUUUGAAUGCAUUCUGAGCAAGGUCAGUUCCAGAUUCAAAUUUGGAGGAUUAAGGGUUGUCUAAACCCGUAUCUCACUGUUUGUUGGAGUCUGGAUCUGGCCCUGAACUUUGCACUUGAUGCUCUUGCCAAUUCGUCAUACCGGGCCUGUAUAUAACAUACACGUAGGUGACUGCAGGUACACCAGCCUUAGGGUGACUGUGCUUCACUUGAAUAAUCCCGUUGACCUCAGCGGUAGAGGAUCAAAUUGACUGAACUCCCCUGACAACAAACAAUUCUUUUUCAGCCAGUCUUGUCGGAAACACCACGUGCUACCUAACUCUUAAAAGUCAGGAGAUUAUAAGUCAUAAGAAGCAUGUUGAAACAUGCACAGCUAUUCCUCCCUACAGAAUAACCUGAAAACAUGCAAGAGAAGCCAGCAUUCAUCUCUGGUGUCAAAUGUUUGCAUUUCCACUGAAAUACAAAGCAGACACCUGCAAUACCCAGACACAGACUGAAGCACAAGAAAUGAGAAGGAAGCUGAAGGAGCAAAAUGGGAAAAUGAAAGCACACUGCACUAGACUGCACUUUCUUUUCAGGUAACUUGGGAUUUGUACUACAGUCUUGAAUAGUUUUUUCUAGGUUCUAUUUUUGGACAGCCAAAAAGUUAGCUUAGAAUCAGAUAGUUCAUCUUAUAUUCACUCCUCUCAUUUUCCUGCUGCAUCACACUCAGACAGUUCCACUGCCUGAUGAGCAGCUGUACAGGCAGCAGAAACUCUAAUUAACAGGUGCCUGUACCCCAUGGCUAUAUUUGAGUGGUGGAUGUAUGGCCAAGGCCACUGGCUUGGUAUAAAUCUGAUGGCCUAUGGGAUGAAGUGAUAAUUACACAGAAAUGACCCACUGCAGUGAGAUCAUUCUUAACCUUUUUGUUUCUUUUUUCUAACUUUUUCUCUUAAAAAAUAGUGACUAAUUAUUUAUACAAUGAAUGUUCAACACUAAUUUAAACAAAGUCAUAUUUAGUGCAGUGCUGUUUGCUAGGGAGAUCUACAGAUGUGGCUUCUGCUCUCAUUGGAUUACUAAUGUUCCUUUCCAAAUCAACACACAUUUUCAAUAUCGUAUUUAAAUCAUACAGUAGAAGUUACCUUAUGUGGUAAAUUCAGUCAGGCACAAAUAUGUGACUCUUGCAGGAUAACUAAUGAAAUGUGCAGUGUGCACUGUACAACCCAUCUGCAAACCCUUCACCUCUGUACAUGUUGGGUUUGUUCCUUACAACCAUGGAAUGUUUUGGGUUGGAAGGGAUCAUACAGAUCACCUGGCUGCAGGCACCCUGCCUUGGGAAAGGACAGACCGUAUGGCUAUGGAUGCUUGGCGAUGUAGGAUGGGAAAGAAAAUAGCAAACGUACCUGCAUUGAUGUACACUGCCAUCUGUUGACUCCUUUUACUUCCAAAGCCCUGAGAUGGUCCCACUUGCAGUGCUCCUGCUGUAUGCAGAAGAAUGGGAAGUGUGGGGAAAGGGAGACAAUCAGAGGUAUUUUCCAAGUAAUGCAGGAGGAAAAAAAAGCAGUCUUCGCUUUUGGUACACAUGUGCAUCAUGUUCCAUCAAAAAACCACAGACAACACCACAGCUCGAAGUUGCUCCUGUUGCACCACAGGCUCAUGUGGACCAUCUCUGUGUGAGAUGCAGAGGAAAGGCAGAGGGCUGCAUGCUUACAUAUGCUACGCUCCAUCCAGCAGGCGAGCGCUGCAGGGCCAACCUGGGGAAGCUGACGACCAGGUGUACUGCUGGAAAGGCAGCCACGCCGUUCCAUGGCUCAGAUGAGCAACAUGUUAGGUACGCUGCAGGUCCUUAUUUCAACACCUUGGCUUCCCUUCAGUCCCAGCAUCUACACUGUGCUCAGGCAGGGGCCAGCCAGCCCCCAGCCUGCUCCAAGCGUGGGGCACGAGGACGGAGGACAUCAGUGGGUUCUGAGCUGUGCAGCAUCACAGCCCAAGUGCUUUCAGGAUCAGAUCAUCUAAGAAAUGUGAAUGAGAUGUUCCUGUGACCCCCUCACAUAUCACAAACUGUAAGGCAGCAAGUCGAUGCAAAAUGACUGCUUAUAAAAACACAAAAUCACCAGUAAUUCGGGCAAUGUGCAAUUCAAACACCAAGUGUGUUCUCAGUGCUUGUCAUCUCCUGAUGUUUCUAUUAGGGAAUCAGUUGUAGUCCCUGGAAGUAAAAUCCAUCUGGCUGUGGGCAAUAAUUCAUCUCAUUUCAUGGUAAAAUCCUCAGCAGCAAAAACCACUACAGCCAAAAAAUAUUUUGGACCAUUUUGUUGUGUAUGCACAUACUGUUUAUUUACCAGGAAAAAAAAAAAGCUGUCCCUUUACUUACACAGACACAAAACUUCAGCUUAUUGGGAGGUAUCUUUCUGCACACUCUGCAAAAGUAAUAGCUGCAAAUUUCAAGCCAAUACAAAAGGACUCAACUGUGAAAAGAACAUGUCUGCUCAAAGGUAUUCCUGUUUAAUUCUUAUUUUUACAGGCACACAGCUUCAUAGGUAUCUGUAACUGAGCUGCUGUUAUUAUUUGUUAUGGUGAACAUCAGAGGAACUUUGCUUCUGUUAAUUUCUCUGGGUUUGGUGUUUGCUGACUGCUGUGUUUCACUAUGUGAACUGGGGAAGGAAUGCCCAUCCACUCUGGUUUCCUGGUGGCAUCACUUACCCCUUUGCAUUCAUUGCAUACAUAAAUUCCUGUAGUUGGUUGAUGAGUACCGAUAUUUGUUCUCCUUGAAAUGAUGCUUCCCAGCAAAACAACACACUGAAAUAAGUUUGAAGAUUGAAGUCGGUUUAAAUGAUUGACAUUUUAAAAAUGAUUUAAUUCUGGGUUGACAUCCAGCACACCCAGUAAUUGUGAGUGCUUUUAUCACCCAGCUGAUUUUCAGUGUCAGCUCAGGAUUUUCCCAGGAUAAGAUCUCUGAGCACAGAGGACUAAAAGCCAUACUCAUCUCACUCUACUGGUAUGUUAUAUACAGCUUGCCACCAAACGGAGCAGACAUGUUUGGCUCCCUUCAUACAUGGUUAGAAAUGGCGCUGGGAUCGUUGCCGUGAAGCUCUUACAAAGACUCUUGAAAUAAACAGGAGAAAACAUUGCCUGGAGGACGUGUGUGAGUGUUCUUCUUUGUGGAGCCAAUGCUGAGGGUUCUGCUUCAGUUUCAUUCUCUUUUCUCACUCAGAGGUUGGUGAGGUCCUGGCACUGCUGCCCAGAGCUGUGGUGCC